GACGAACGCUGGCGGCGUGCUUAACACAUGCAAGUCGAACGGAAAGGCCUGCUUUCCCUUGUGGAUUGCGGGUACUCGAGUGGCGAACGGGUGAGUAACACGUGAGUGAUCUGCCCCCAACUUGGGUAUAAGCCUGGGAAACUGGGUCUAAUUCCCGAUAGGACUGCAGGGUGGUGCCUGUGGUGGAAAACGAUUUUCUAGUGGUUGGGGAUGAGCUCGCGGCCUAUCAGCUUGUUGGUGGGGUAAUGGCCUACCAAGGCGGCGACGGGUAGCCGGCCUGAGAGGGUGGACGGCCACAUUGGGACUGAGAUAAGGCCCAGACUCCUACGGGAGGCAGCAGUGGGGAAUAUUGCACAAUGGGCGGAAGGCUGAUGCAGCGACGCAGCGUGGGGGAUGACGGCAUUCGGGUUGUAAACUCCUUUGGACCGAGAGGAAGCCACCUGGUUGGAAGGGUGGUGACGGUAGUGGUAGAAGAAGCACCGGCUAACUACGUG
This 494-nucleotide ribosomal RNA is filed under the name uncultured bacterium. Its description in RNAcentral is "partial 16S ribosomal RNA". It matches the Rfam family "Bacterial small subunit ribosomal RNA", at positions 28 to 507 of the family's 1533-position model. The record is from RNAcentral.